UUUAGCCGAAAGAAAGAGAGAAGCAAACUGCUUCCCAACACUUUCACUUCAUCAAUCUAUCAAGAAACCCAGCAUCAGGUAUAACAAGUUUCUUAUCUUCUCUUCAUCGUAGAUUUGAUAUACCUAUUUGUGCAGAAUUUUGUUAUAUUUAUUCAGUUUUAUCAUCUGUUUUGUUGUUUGAGUUGCCUAGAUUUGGAUACCUUUCACUCUAAAUUUCAUUUAGAAUCUUGAUUUUUGAUGUAGUUUCAUUUAUAUCUAGAAGUGUUUUAUACAGUUUAAAUUUCAAGAUGGAGAUGCAUUAUGUAUAGCUAUUGUUUGUCGGGUUUUUUUUUCCACAUUGUCUUAUAGAAUGUUAUUGUUUUACAAAUGUUCUGUAGCUUUGUUACUACAAUUCAUUGAUUUGAAUUCUUUCUGGUAGAAUUUGGUACUUCAACAUUUACUAAUUGCUGUGGUAUGUUAGUAUGUUACCACAUCUGCAUUAGUUGUGCACUAUUGAUUUCUCUGCACAUCUAUUUUAUUAACAUUGUUUGCUUGUGAACAGGUUUGGAAACUGCUGCGGCAUUUUGGUGGUAUUGUAAAUUGCUUAUCUAGGUGCACCAAACUGUAAAUUGCUUAUGGCCACAUGAAAGAUUGUGACAUUAGGAUUUAAGAAUUUGAGAUGGGGAACGCAGAAGAGGUUUGGUGUCUCUUUACUUUAUCAAAAAGAUGAUUGAUCGUAUAGAGAAGGAUGGGCAGCUCUUAAAAGUGCCUAUAGUUUUCCAUAUAUCAGAAAUGCGAUUGAAACUAUUCACGACUAGAUUGGUUGGUUCAAUUAUCAUUGGAAGAUAUUUGGAAAUGAUUUGGAAGUACUCAAUGGAUGAUAAUGGUCUUAGAGAUGGUGUCUUUGGUUUGGGAGAAGUCGGCAAAAUGAUUUGGGAGGUAAAUUAGCAAUGCCAUAGGUGCAGUCUCACACCCUUGAAGAAUGUGGUCUUGAAGAUCCUUGGUUUGAGUACGUGAAGCUACGAAAGCGAACUUCAUAGCAUCAGUGGCACAAUAGAUAUCAAGUUCACCCAGAUGUAAUGGAACGGUUGCCAUAUGCCUUUGUACAUCACCAAACACAAGGUUCAUCAGAAACCACAAUAUUUUGAAGGGUUGUAUAGAGCUUGCGGUCAAACAAUUCGGUUGCUUCCUGAAUAUAAUCUAGUGGGUAAGUACGAAGACUAAAAAUUAGUUUAGAUAAUUCCAUACAGGAAUGUAAAACUGCCCACUCACAUUGCAGAUUCUUUAGUUGCGAUAGUACUUAUAAGCUGAAGCAUUUUAUUCACUCGUUGGUGAACAUUACCAGCAAUAAAAGAAACAUCGAUACUAGCCUUAUGUUUUGUAACAAAAGGUUGUUGACCUUUUUUUUCUUUAUAUUAAUCAUUGAAAUGUAGUACGUAUGUUGCUCCGUUUUGUAUAUGCUCUUGUGGUCCCAAUCACAAAGCGUCAUGUGUUUAUUUGGCAACUAAUUUUGGUCCACUACAUACAAAGGUUAUAUUUUUAUUAUUUAAUUAUUUAAAUAAAAAUUAAAUGGCACAUGUCGUUUUAUGAUUGAGACCACAUGACCAUAUACAAAAUGGAUCAACAUACUACAUUCAUUCUUAUCUUUACUACUUUAGAAGGGAGCAGGG
This 1649-nucleotide long non-coding RNA is filed under the name Aquilegia coerulea. Its description in RNAcentral is "long non-coding RNA (ACOE_LNC000761)". The record is from RNAcentral. Lineage: Eukaryota; Viridiplantae; Streptophyta; Magnoliopsida; Ranunculales; Ranunculaceae.